Molecule: long non-coding RNA, 635 nt
Organism: Crotalus tigris (Tiger rattlesnake)
Lineage: Eukaryota; Metazoa; Chordata; Lepidosauria; Squamata; Viperidae
Exons: 2
Source: RefSeq, a predicted model, not a curated record
UCUGUGCAAAGGCGGUAAGCCACAAGAACAGGCUGGGGUCUUCAUGAUUGUCACGGUUCUUCUUCGCGUACAUUCGUCCAACGGGGGCUUCUCCGCUAAUUUACCGAAAUACGGACGAACAACCAGCCACAGAGCAAUAGGAGCGUGUGCAGCAGAACCCAGGAGUUCGCCGGAGAAGCACUACCCUCCGGGGGGCGGGGGAGAGGAGUGGUCGAGAGGAGCUCCGCGUCCAAUGAGAAUGCGAAGGCCCCUCCAAUGGAUUAACGGGCAGCCAAUCUGAGCCGAGCGCAGCGGAUCCCGCAGGCUCCAUUCAAGAAUCUCAAGUAUUCAAGAUGGACGGAGCGGAAUGCGGAGAGAGACGCGGGAGCUGUUUAGUGCCCGCCACUUUCUUGCCCGGGCAAAGCGGGGGGAAAACGCCAAAGUUUUAACCUCCACCACGGGGGCUCGCGAGAGAGGAGGAGAAGCCAGAGAGCUGCCGAAAGGGUUGAAUUCCCGAACACUCUCCUUGAAACAUAAAACUGGAUACUACUCCUGCUGGAUGAAGACUAAAGAGAAUGGCUUGAUUAAUAUGUGCCGUGCAGCAGCCCACUAUUCUAUAGAAACUCAUACUAAAGAAAGUGCAUUGAUAAAAUAAA